GAUGAACGCUGGCGGCGUGCCUAAUACAUGCAAGUCGAGCGAACGGACGAGAAGCUUGCUUCUCUGAUGUUAGCGGCGGACGGGUGAGUAACACGUGGAUAACCUACCUAUAAGACUGGGAUAACUUCGGGAAACCGGAGCUAAUACCGGAUAAUAUUUUGAACCGCAUGGUUCAAAAGUGAAAGACGGUCUUGCUGUCACUUAUGGAUGGAUCCGCGCUGCAUUAGCUAGUUGGUAAGGUAACGGCUUACCAAGGCAACGAUGCAUAGCCGACCUGAGAGGGUGAUCGGCCACACUGGAACUGAGACACGGUCCAGACCCCUACGGGAGGCAGCAGUAGGGAAUCUUCCGCAAUGGGCGAAAGCCUGACGGAGCAACGCCGCGUGAGUGAUGAAGGUCUUCGGAUCGUAAAACUCUGUUAUUAGGGAAGAACAUAUGUGUAAGUAACUGUGCACAUCUUGACGGUACCUAAUCAGAAAGCCACGGCUAACUACGUG
RNAcentral lists this ribosomal RNA (497 nucleotides) under uncultured bacterium. RNAcentral describes it as "partial 16S ribosomal RNA". It matches the Rfam family "Bacterial small subunit ribosomal RNA", at positions 28 to 507 of the family's 1533-position model. The record is from RNAcentral.